GGCAACAUCUCAAACUGCGAUGACGGAUAGGAAAAAGUGAGAGCGCUCAGAUCGACGUACCGGAAUAACCAGAAUAAUUGGCAGCCGGUACACGAACAGCCACCAACGCGACUCCACGCUUCGCAAUGCGCUCGCUUCAAGGUCGAAUCCAUCUUGCCAACCCUAUACGUCUAUUAUUCAAUUUACGUCGGCCCUUUCGACGUUCUCAAUUGAUAAUGAAAAGAUGAAUUGAUUUAACACAAUAUACGUGAUAGAAAUCAGGCAGCCUUAACGAAUGAUGUCGCGUUAGAAUUUUUUAAAUAUUCAGAUAAGGAUAAUGAUAAAGGCGAAAUGAAACAAAUGGAAAGAAAUAAUACUACAGUAAAGAAUCUUUUAAUUAAUAAUGGAAAUAGUGGUUAAGGUGCAAAUACUUGACGCAUAAGAACGUACGGCCGACCUAACCUCACUCUUGUACUGCUUAGGAGCAGUUUAGGUUAAUGACCUAGAAAUGAGAUUAAAUUGGAUAAAAACCAACUCCUUGGCCCCUUGCAGAUACAGAAACUCGGACAAUCUGUUUUCCAGAGGAAUCGGUCUCCGUUCUGGGACACAAAGGGCGGAAAAUAUUUAUUCGCAAAACGUCCCUCUCGUUUUCAUCGGCUAUCUUACCCGAUAAAAUUCUGGAAGUAUCUAGACACAAGACAAGGCGGGACACAUUAUCACGGGAAAGCAAUAUGUAAGUUCAAUGAAGCGCGCAGAAUGGAUACAGGUGUUCCCUGUUUGAGAAAGAUAAGUCACACGGGCACGUGAUCGAAUUAUUAUACACGAGCGUAUAAAUUAAGGAGAUACGUUGGAACUGGAAUUAAGAAGCUACGCUGAGAAACGCAACCCUGUUGCGUUAUUUCAGACACUGUCGAGCCAAUUGUAUUUUUCUAAGGUUAAAGAAUAUCUCGAGUCUGAUCGAUUCACGCGAUUUCUCAGCGUUUCGGUUUUACGUUAACUGUUUUCUUAGGACGUCACUUGACUCGAACUGUUGAAUUAAUCAAUUCCACAAAACCUUUUGUUGUCACAGCUACACAAGAUUUAAUAAAUUCCAUAAUUCAAUUAGAUGUCAUUUUUCUGCGAUAAUUAGAGAUGCGUUCAUAGAACAUAGCGAAUAUUUGAUCUUUAAAAAUUUGAAAUAGAUAUAUCAGACAAAGCUGAAGUAUUCUUUCGCUUUCUUUCCCUUUUUAAGAUGUAUACUUCCCCAUCACUUCUUUGUAACUCUAACAUUGACGAGUUAGCCCCGCGACGAUAUUCUACGGACUUAGGAUGCAGAAUAGUAAAAGAGUGAAGAGAAUGAAAAAAUUUGUCUUUUUAAAAUUGACAGAGCCGAAUCCUUAAAAGCUCGAUGAAGAUCAAGCGAACAUAUCCAACGUUCACGUUUCUACUUUCUACUAAGUUGAGUAAUUCAAUCGACCACGACUAUACUAGCUACUAUGCUGCGAGCUUACUUUGCGAUUACAGAGAAUAGCCCACCCUUCCUGGAAGCGGAAUUCUUUUUCCGCUUAUCAACGCGGUCGUGAUCCGAUAGAAAUCGAUGAGCGAUAAGAACUUCCGUUUUGGAGCGAAAUCGCCAGCAAAGUGGACUUUGAGCAGAUACUGAGAUUGUAAUUCGUCGUGGAAGCUCUUUUUUUUUUUAAACGAUUUCUUGUGCACACGCACCUGGAAAUACUUCAACGUUUACUACGAAGCGCGUUUACGUCUAUGUUGUAUGUAUUAUAUGUAUGAGACAUUUUAAAAUUUCUUUAAUACGUUAACGAGACACCACUGUCGCGAUUAUAUCGGUAAAAUUUCGUAGAAAUCUGAAAAUGUAUACAGAAAUUACAAGAUAUCUGUUGUAAACGUAUAUCCAGUGAAAACAUGGAAUAUCUAUUCGAAAUGUAUAUGUAACAAGUGUUGCCGAGAUGGAGUGUCAGAGACUCCGCAGGUGCAAGCUUCCUUACUCUCUUUCAUUUUGUUUACAAUUAAAUAGCUUUGUAUCUUUUUCUACCAUUCGACGUCAGAUACUACGAUGCACGCAUUCACGCAAAUACAGGAAAAUGUGUACUAAAAAUAAUCCUGUGUAUACUCGCUAUAAACCAAUAAAGCUGUUCCUCAAAAAGUUUCGUCAUUACCAAGUGAUAGCAAUUGUCCGUAAAAUAGGAACCGCAAGGCGAUCCGAAUUCCUAGAACAAUUAAUCACUCCGACCAAUUUGCUGUUUUGUCGUUGGUUGGCGUCUAAGUCUCGAACGCCAGCCAACAAAGUCCUACGGUAAAAGAGAACUUUCAUUUCGACGCGAACUCGAAUUUAUCCAGAGGCAUACAUCAUACGACACGCUCGGAACGUUCGUAUAUUUCAGCCACGGCUGGAACUCGUGCAAUUUUCCUACCAUAAAGUUGCACGCAUCUCUUUAUUGGUAAUUGAUAAGAAACGCGUUAAAGCAACGGUUACGUCAUGCAAGCAAAUGGAAACUAUUGGACAAGAAUAAAAUUGUUAUUGCAACUCGAUCUUAUCGCAUCAGGCAUCGGGGAAAGAGAACAUUUUCAUCAACAAGAUGAAUAUUUCGAAUUCGAUCCGUACACGCACGUUAUAUCGCCAUUUGCCACUUGGAAAAUUUAAACAUUUAUCUCGCAUCAAGAUUCUACCAGCAUCAA
Bombus pyrosoma is the source of this 2652-nucleotide long non-coding RNA. RefSeq lists it as uncharacterized. Lineage: Eukaryota; Metazoa; Arthropoda; Insecta; Hymenoptera; Apidae. The transcript has 3 exons. The record is from RefSeq and is a predicted model, not a curated record.